AAUGAACGCUGGCGGCCGGCCUAACACAUGCAAGUCGAACGGAUCCUUCGGGAUUAGUGGCGGACGGGUGAGUAACGCGUGGGAACAUACCCUUUGGUACGGAAUAGCCUCGGGAAACUGGGAGUAAUACCGUAUGUGGUCGAGAGACGAAAGAUUUAUCGCGAAAGGAUUGGCCCGCGUUGGAUUAGGUAGUUGGUGCGGCAAUCGCCUACCAAGCCGACGAUCCAUAGCUCGUGUGAGAGGACGAUCAUCCACACUGGGACUGAGACACGGUCCAGAUUCCUACGGGAUGCAGCAGUGGGGAAUCUUAGAUAUUGGGGGAAACCCUGAUCUAGCCAUUCCGGUUGAUCGAUGAAGGCCUUAGGGUUGUAAAGAUCUUUCAGGUGGGAAGAUAAUGACUGUACCACCAGAAGAAGCCCCGGCUAACUCCGUGCCAGCCGCCGCCGGAA
This 449-nucleotide ribosomal RNA is filed under the name uncultured bacterium. Its description in RNAcentral is "partial 16S ribosomal RNA". It matches the Rfam family "Bacterial small subunit ribosomal RNA", at positions 29 to 523 of the family's 1533-position model. The record is from RNAcentral.